Molecule: ribosomal RNA, 2899 nt
Filed under: Klebsiella pneumoniae
Lineage: Bacteria; Pseudomonadati; Pseudomonadota; Gammaproteobacteria; Enterobacterales; Enterobacteriaceae
Description: bacterial LSU rRNA
Rfam family: Bacterial large subunit ribosomal RNA
Source: RNAcentral
UUAAGCGACUAAGCGUACACGGUGGAUGCCCUGGCAGUCAGAGGCGAUGAAGGACGUGCUAAUCUGCGAAAAGCGUCGGUAAGGUGAUAUGACCGUUAUAACCGGCGAUGUCCGAAUGGGGAAACCCAGUGCAAUUCGUUGCACUAUCGUUAACUGAAUACAUAGGUUAACGAGGCGAACCGGGGGAACUGAAACAUCUAAGUACCCCGAGGAAAAGAAAUCAACCGAGAUUCCCCCAGUAGCGGCGAGCGAACGGGGAGCAGCCCAGAGUCUGAAUCAGCUUGUGUGUUAGUGGAACGGUCUGGAAAGUCCGACGGUACAGGGUGAUAGUCCCGUACACCAAAAUGCACAGGUUGUGAACUCGAAGAGUAGGGCGGGACACGUGGUAUCCUGUCUGAAUAUGGGGGGACCAUCCUCCAAGGCUAAAUACUCCUGACUGACCGAUAGUGAACCAGUACCGUGAGGGAAAGGCGAAAAGAACCCCGGCGAGGGGAGUGAAAAAGAACCUGAAACCGUGUACGUACAAGCAGUGGGAGCACCUUCGGGUGUGACUGCGUACCUUUUGUAUAAUGGGUCAGCGACUUAUAUUCUGUAGCAAGGUUAACCGUAUAGGGGAGCCGCAGGGAAACCGAGUCUUAACUGGGCGUUAAGUUGCAGGGUAUAGACCCGAAACCCGGUGAUCUAGCCAUGGGCAGGUUGAAGGUUGGGUAACACUAACUGGAGGACCGAACCGACUAAUGUUGAAAAAUUAGCGGAUGACUUGUGGCUGGGGGUGAAAGGCCAAUCAAACCGGGAGAUAGCUGGUUCUCCCCGAAAGCUAUUUAGGUAGCGCCUCGUGAAUUCAUCUUCGGGGGUAGAGCACUGUUUCGGCUAGGGGGUCAUCCCGACUUACCAACCCGAUGCAAACUACGAAUACCGAAGAAUGUUAUCACGGGAGACACACGGCGGGUGCUAACGUCCGUCGUGAAGAGGGAAACAACCCAGACCGCCAGCUAAGGUCCCAAAGUCAUGGUUAAGUGGGAAACGAUGUGGGAAGGCACAGACAGCCAGGAUGUUGGCUUAGAAGCAGCCAUCAUUUAAAGAAAGCGUAAUAGCUCACUGGUCGAGUCGGCCUGCGCGGAAGAUGUAACGGGGCUAAACCAUGCACCGAAGCUGCGGCAGCGACACUAUGUGUUGUUGGGUAGGGGAGCGUUCUGUAAGCCUGCGAAGGUGUGCUGUGAGGCAUGCUGGAGGUAUCAGAAGUGCGAAUGCUGACAUAAGUAACGAUAAAGCGGGUGAAAAGCCCGCUCGCCGGAAGACCAAGGGUUCCUGUCCAACGUUAAUCGGGGCAGGGUGAGUCGACCCCUAAGGCGAGGCCGAAAGGCGUAGUCGAUGGGAAACAGGUUAAUAUUCCUGUACUUGGUGUUACUGCGAAGGGGGGACGGAGAAGGCUAUGUUAGCCGGGCGACGGUUGUCCCGGUUUAAGCAUGUAGGCUGAUUGUCCAGGCAAAUCCGGAUAAUCAAGGCUGAGGUGUGAUGACGAGGCACUACGGUGCUGAAGUAACAAAUGCCCUGCUUCCAGGAAAAGCCUCUAAGCAUCAGGUAACAUCAAAUCGUACCCCAAACCGACACAGGUGGUCAGGUAGAGAAUACCAAGGCGCUUGAGAGAACUCGGGUGAAGGAACUAGGCAAAAUGGUGCCGUAACUUCGGGAGAAGGCACGCUGGUGUGUAGGUGAAGUCCCUGCGGAUGGAGCUGAGACCAGUCGAAGAUACCAGCUGGCUGCAACUGUUUAUUAAAAACACAGCACUGUGCAAACACGAAAGUGGACGUAUACGGUGUGACGCCUGCCCGGUGCCGGAAGGUUAAUUGAUGGGGUUAUCCGUAAGGAGAAGCUCUUGAUCGAAGCCCCGGUAAACGGCGGCCGUAACUAUAACGGUCCUAAGGUAGCGAAAUUCCUUGUCGGGUAAGUUCCGACCUGCACGAAUGGCGUAAUGAUGGCCAGGCUGUCUCCACCCGAGACUCAGUGAAAUUGAACUCGCUGUGAAGAUGCAGUGUACCCGCGGCAAGACGGAAAGACCCCGUGAACCUUUACUAUAGCUUGACACUGAACAUUGAGCCUUGAUGUGUAGGAUAGGUGGGAGGCUUUGAAGCGUGGACGCCAGUCUGCGUGGAGCCAACCUUGAAAUACCACCCUUUAAUGUUUGAUGUUCUAACGUUGGCCCCUGACCGGGGUUGCGGACAGUGUCUGGUGGGUAGUUUGACUGGGGCGGUCUCCUCCCAAAGCGUAACGGAGGAGCACGAAGGUUAGCUAAUCCUGGUCGGACAUCAGGAGGUUAGUGCAAUGGCAUAAGCUAGCUUGACUGCGAGCGUGACGGCGCGAGCAGGUGCGAAAGCAGGUCAUAGUGAUCCGGUGGUUCUGAAUGGAAGGGCCAUCGCUCAACGGAUAAAAGGUACUCCGGGGAUAACAGGCUGAUACCGCCCAAGAGUUCAUAUCGACGGCGGUGUUUGGCACCUCGAUGUCGGCUCAUCACAUCCUGGGGCUGAAGUAGGUCCCAAGGGUAUGGCUGUUCGCCAUUUAAAGUGGUACGCGAGCUGGGUUUAGAACGUCGUGAGACAGUUCGGUCCCUAUCUGCCGUGGGCGCUGGAGAAUUGAGGGGGGCUGCUCCUAGUACGAGAGGACCGGAGUGGACGCAUCACUGGUGUUCGGGUUGUCAUGCCAAUGGCACUGCCCGGUAGCUAAAUGCGGAAGAGAUAAGUGCUGAAAGCAUCUAAGCACGAAACUUGCCCCGAGAUGAGUUCUCCCUGAGACUUUAAGUCUCCUGAAGGAACGUUGAAGACGACGACGUUGAUAGGCCGGGUGUGUAAGCGCAGCGAUGCGUUGAGCUAACCGGUACUAAUGAACCGUGAGGCUUAACCUU